GAUGAACGCUAGCUACAGGCUUAACACAUGCAAGUCGAGGGGUAACGAGAGGAAAGCUUGCUUUCCUUGUUGACGACCGGCGCACGGGUGAGUAACGCGUAUCCAACCUGCCCCCAACUAAGGAAUAACCUUGCGAAAGUAAGACUAAUACCUUAUAAUUUCCUCAGAUGUCAUCUGACGAGGAAUAAAGAUUUAUCGGUUGUGGAUGGGGAUGCGUCUGAUUAGCUUGUUGGCGGGGUAACGGCCCACCAAGGCAACGAUCAGUAGGGGUUCUGAGAGGAAGGUCCCCCACAUUGGAACUGAGACACGGUCCAAACUCCUACGGGAGGCAGCAGUGCGGAAUAUUGGUCAAUGGGCGAAAGCCUGAACCAGCCAAGUAGCGUGCAGGAUGACGGCCCUAUGGGUUGUAAACUGCUUUUAUACAGGAAUAAAGUUAGCCACGUGUGGUUAUUUGUAGGUACUGUAUGAAUAAGGACCGGCUAAUUCCGUGCCAGCCGCCGCGGUAA
This 506-nucleotide ribosomal RNA is filed under the name uncultured bacterium. RNAcentral's name for it is "partial 16S ribosomal RNA". It matches the Rfam family "Bacterial small subunit ribosomal RNA", at positions 28 to 523 of the family's 1533-position model. The record is from RNAcentral.